GAUGAACGCUGGCGGCGUGCCUAAUACAUGCAAGUCGAGCGAACGGACGAGAAGCUUGCUUCUCUGAUGUUAGCGGCGGACGGGUGAGUAACACGUGGAUAACCUACCUAUAAGACUGGGAUAACUUCGGGAAACCGGAGCUAAUACCGGAUAAUAUUUUGAACCGCAUGGUUCAAAAGUGAAAGACGGUCUUGCUGUCACUUAUAGAUGGAUCCGCGCUGCAUUAGCUAGUUGGUAAGGUAACGGCCUACCAAGGCAACGAUGCAUAGCCGACCUGAGAGGGUGAUCGGCCACACUGGAACUGAGACACGGUCCAGACUCCUACGGGAGGCAGCAGUAGGGAAUCUUCCGCAAUGGGCGAAAGCCUGACGGAGCAACGCCGCGUGAGUGAUGAAGGUCUUCGGAUCGUAAAACUCUGUUAUUAGGGAAGAACAUAUGUGUAAGUAACUGUGCACAUCUUGACGGUACCUAAUCAGAAAGCCACGGCUAACUACGUGCCAGCAGCCGCGGUAAUACGUAGGUGGCAAGCGUUAUCCGGAAUUAUUGGGCGUAAAGCGCGCGUAGGCGGUUUUUUAAGUCUGAUGUGAAAGCCCACGGCUCAACCGUGGAGGGUCAUUGGAAACUGGAAAACUUGAGUGCAGAAGAGGAAAGUGGAAUUCCAUGUGUAGCGGUGAAAUGCGCAGAGAUAUGGAGGAACACCAGUGGCGAAGGCGACUUUCUGGUCUGUAACUGACGCUGAUGUGCGAAAGCGUGGGGAUCAAACAGGAUUAGAUACCCUGGUAGUCCACGCCGUAAACGAUGAGUGCUAAGUGUUAGGGGGUUUCCGCCCCUUAGUGCUGCAGCUAACGCAUUAAGCACUCCGCCUGGGGAGUACGACCGCAAGGUUGAAACUCAAAGGAAUUGACGGGGACCCGCACAAGCGGUGGAGCAUGUGGUUUAAUUCGAAGCAACGCGAAGAACCUUACCAAAUCUUGACAUCCUUUGACAACUCUAGAGAUAGAGCUUUCCCCUUCGGGGGACAAAGUGACAGGUGGUGCAUGGUUGUCGUCAGCUCGUGUCGUGAGAUGUUGGGUUAAGUCCCGCAACGAGCGCAACCCUUAAGCUUAGUUGCCAUCAUUAAGUUGGGCACUCUAAGUUGACUGCCGGUGACAAACCGGAGAAAGGUGGGGAUGACGUCAAAUCAUCAUGCCCCUUAUGAUUUGGGCUACACACGUGCUACAAUGGACAAUACAAAGGGCAGCGAAACCGCGAGGUCAAGCAAAUCCCAUAAAGUUGUUCUCAGUUCGGAUUGUAGUCUGCAACUCGACUACAUGAAGCUGGAAUCGCUAGUAAUCGUAGAUCAGCAUGCUACGGUGAAUACGUUCCCGGGUCU
RNAcentral lists this ribosomal RNA (1372 nucleotides) under uncultured bacterium. Its description in RNAcentral is "bacterial SSU rRNA". It matches the Rfam family "Bacterial small subunit ribosomal RNA", at positions 28 to 1381 of the family's 1533-position model. The record is from RNAcentral.